Molecule: ribosomal RNA, 406 nt
Filed under: uncultured bacterium
Lineage: Bacteria
Description: partial 16S ribosomal RNA
Rfam family: Bacterial small subunit ribosomal RNA
Source: RNAcentral
AUUGAACGCUGGCGGCAGGCCUAACACAUGCAAGUCGAACGAGCGGCGGACGGGUGAGUAAUGUAUGGGAAACUGCCUGAUGGAGGGGGAUAACUACUGGAAACGGUAGCUAAUACCGCAUACCAUCAGAUGUGCCCCGAUGGGAUUAGCUUGUUGGUGGGGUAACGGCUCACCAGGGCGACGAUCCCUAGCUGGUCUGAGAGGAUGAUCAGCCACAAUGGAACUGAGACACGGCCCAGACUCCUACGGGAGGCAGCAGUGGGGAAUAUUGCACAAUGGGCGCAAGCCUGAUGCAGCCAUGCCGCGUGUAUGAAGAAGGCCUUCGGGUUGUAAAGUACUUUCAGUGGGGAGGCGUUACCGGCAGAAGAAGCACCGGCUAACUCCGUGCCAGCAGCCGCGGUAAUAC